ACCAACCAGCCUCCCGUCAGAGAGGGACAUGCGCAGUGAGUGCCUCCCGUCUCUUCUACCCGAACCCCCCUCCCCCCCCCAAGCAGAGAGACCCCAGCAGCAGCAGCAGCUGAUGAUGAAGAGAGAGGCAGUGGCAGAGGGGGGGCACCUUUUAUUUCUAUUUUUAAAGGGACAGGACACUAAUUUUAUCCCACUUCAACCUUGAAUUGAGGGGGGUGGGGGGAAGGCGGCUGAGUUCCUUCCCCCACCCUCCAGCCCUGAGACCUGAGAGGGGGAUUGAGCCUGAGAGAGAAGGAGAAGGAGUUUCUUCUUCUUCGAAAACCCCCAUCCACGACUCCUACCCCCUCACCCCUCCACUAGCCUCUCUCCCGAGCCCCCUCCAUCCUCCUCCUCUUUGGCCGUGAGAGGAGAGAAAGAGACCAAAAGCCUCUUAGCAACACAGACCCUUCUCUGCUGUUGCUGCUGCUGCUGCUACUGCUGCUGCUGCUUGGCCCUGGCUGGAGACAUCUCACUACACCCAGGAGCAGCCACUUCCCCAGCUCUCCUCCUCCUUCGCCUCCUCCUCCUCCUCCACUCCCCCCCCCCCCUUUAUUACCCUUUGUGUCAUCCUCCACAGCUCCAGGGAAGGCACUCAAAAGUGGGGGGCAGAAAAGAUGAAUAUUGAGGAUAUCAUUUUCUGCAUGUGGGAAGUAGAUAUUGAAGGUUAUCUGGUUUACAGACAAGAUCUUUAAAAAGUAGACACUGAAGGCAGAUUCUUUACUGUAUGAGCCACCAGGGAAGCCCAUGGUUGGUUCUACCACUCACAAAGUUCUGAAGUUUCUCAAACUUCUGAGGCUCCAUUUUCUUUCCUGCUCCUCUGUAAGAAGUAUUGAGAGGCUCCAUUGUGGUGGUCAAUAUGAAAU
Molecule: long non-coding RNA, 902 nt
Organism: Capra hircus (goat)
Lineage: Eukaryota; Metazoa; Chordata; Mammalia; Artiodactyla; Bovidae
Exons: 3
Source: RefSeq, a predicted model, not a curated record